CAGUCGCCGCGGUAAUACGUAAGUGGCAAGCGUUGUCCGGAAUUAUUGGGCGUAAAGGGCUCGCAGGCGGUUUCUUAAGUCUGGUGUGAAAGCCCCCGGCUCAACCGGGGAGGGUCAUUGGAAACUGGGAAACUUGAGUGCAGAAGAGGAGAGUGGAAUUCCACGUGUAGCGGUGAAAUGCGUAGAGAUGUGGAGGAACACCAGUGGCGAAGGCGACUCUCUGGUCUGUAACUGGCGCUGAGGAGCGAAAGCGUGGGGAGCGAACAGGAUUAGAGACCCCUGUAGUCCCUGUCUCUUAUAU
RNAcentral lists this ribosomal RNA (301 nucleotides) under uncultured bacterium. Its description in RNAcentral is "partial 16S ribosomal RNA". It matches the Rfam family "Bacterial small subunit ribosomal RNA", at positions 509 to 809 of the family's 1533-position model. The record is from RNAcentral.